This 24092-nucleotide long non-coding RNA is filed under the name Nicotiana tabacum (common tobacco). Its description in RNAcentral is "long non-coding RNA (NTAB_LNC007474)". Lineage: Eukaryota; Viridiplantae; Streptophyta; Magnoliopsida; Solanales; Solanaceae. The record is from RNAcentral.
UAAAUGCGCAACAAUGAUCUACACAAUUUAAAAAUAUAAUCUUUCACAUUUAGCCACUCACACAAGGUUAGACAUCACUUACCUCGACUUGCUCCAAUUUAACCAAGUAGUAUGCUUUUUCCUCAAUUUUCUGAUUCCGGUUGACUCGUAUCUAGUCAGAAAUAAUUCGAUACCGUCAACAAAAAUUAUAGAAUUAAUUUUAUAAGAAAAUACUACAUUUUUCAAUAAAAAUCCGAAAUUAACUCAAAAAUGGCAUGUGGGGCCCACGUCUUGGAAUCCGGUGAAAGUUACGAAAUAUGAACGCCCAUUCAAUCGCGAGUCUAACCAUACCAAAAUGACUAAAUUCCAAUAACAAUUCGACCCUCAAAUCCUCAAAUCUAUCCAUGAGGGUUUUUCAAAUUUUUCCAACUUAAAUCACCAAUUAAAUGUUAAAACAGUGAUGGAUUCGGGUAAUCUAAUCAAGAUUGAGUUAAGAACACUUACCCCGAAGUUUUCUCUGAAAGUCUCCCAAAAAUCGCCUCAAUCCGAGCUCCAAAUCGUUAAAAAUUGAAAAUGGGACUAAGUCCCAUUUUCUAAACUUAAACAUUAUGUCCAGUGGUUUCUUCUUCGCGAACGCAACCCUUGUCUCGCGUUCGCGAACCACAAAUAUGUGUUGCCCAACUUUCCUCUUCGCAAACGUGACCAAUGCUUCGCGAACACGAAGCUUUGCAAACUCAGACUUUCGCGAACGUGUCCCUUAUCUCGCGAACGCGUAGAACAAAAGACUGGGGUUCCCAGCUGCCUCGCUCUCCUUCGCCAACGCGACGCCACUAACGCAUUUGUGAUGCACACACUGCCCUACCCUUCGUGUUCGUGUUCGCGUCCUCUCCUCCGCGAACACAUAGAACAAAAAUUCACCAGCCCUAAACACUCUUCGCGAACGCAAGGCUCCUCUCACGAACGUGAAAGAGGAAACCAGAACAAUUGCAGCAACAGAUAUCAGCCAUCUCACAAAGGCCAAAAAUGAUCCGUUAACCAUCCGGUACAUGCUCGAGCCCCUCGGGACCUCAACCAAAUAUAGCAACAAGUCCUAAUACAUCAUACGAACUUAGUCGAGUCUUCAAAUCACAUCCAACAACACUAAAACAUGAAUCACACAUAGAUUCAAGCCUAAUAAACUUUGAAACUUCCAAUUUCUACAAAUGACUCCGGAGCCUAUCAAAUCAUGUCCAAUUUACCUCGAAUUUUGCGCACAAGUCAUAAAUGACAUAACGGAGGUACUCAAAUUUUCAGAAUCGGAUUUCGACCCUGAUAUAAAAAAGUCAACCCUUCGGUCAAACUUCCCAAAAAUUCAACUUUCGGCAUUUCAAGCCUAAUUCCACUAUGGACUUCCAAAUAAAAUUCUGAUCACGCUCCAAAGGCCAAAAUCACCAUACGGAGCUUUUGGAAUCAUCAAAAUUCUAUUCUGGGGUCGUUUGCACAUAAUUCGACAUCCGUCACUACUUGAACUUAAACUUUUAAUUUUUCAUCAAAAUUCCAUAUCUCGGACUAGGGACCUCGGAAUUUGAUUCCGGGCAUACGUCCAAGUCCCAAUUCCCGAUACGGACAUACCGAAACUGUCAAAACACUAAUCCGAGUCUGUUUGCUAAAAAUGUUGACCAAGGUCAAUUCAAUUGAGUUUUUAAAGCUCUAAUUCACAUUUUAAUUCAUUUUUCGCAUAAAAACUUUCCGAAAUAUUUUACGGACUGUGUACGCAAGUCGAAAAAUGAUAAAUAGUACUUUUGCGAGGUCUUAGAACAUAAAAAUAAUUAUUAAAUUUAAAGAUGACAUUUUUUGGGUCAUCACAGGAUAGGACCGAGACAAGACCUGGGAUAAGUUCAAGGAUGACUUUGAUGCAGACCGGCGAUCUUCCAAAGGCCGAUUCUUGCCUUACGAGAGAGCCAAAAGACACGAUAGCAAAGGGUUUCGAUCCUCAGAUAGGUUCGCUCCCGAUAGAAGAACUGACCGCGGUCGGAACAACCAAUCGCUACAAGAAAAAGAAGUAUCGGGGACCCGGGAUUCCUCAUAUCCCAAGCUGUCAUAUUAUAAUUUCAACAUUAGCGUAGUGGAGCUGGCAUCGAAAAUGAGAAACAUUGAGGAAGCACGGUUCUCGAGGCCAAUCAUAUCUGAUCCCAACCAGAGGGAUCCCAAAUUAAGGUGUGAAUAUCAUGGAACUCGUGGUCACAGAACUGGAGACUGUCGACAUCUACGCGAGGAGGUGGCAACGUUGUUGAAGAACGACCAUCUCUUGGAGUUCUUGAGCGAUCGGGCCAAGAACAAUUACAGCCUCAACCGAGAUAAUGCAGAGCCCUCGCAGAUAGAAGAAGGCCCUCCUCAACUAGUGAUAAGUGGGGAUUUUGAUUGCUUAUUAGCGCUUUUGUUUUAGUCCAAAAGCAUUGAAUUGUGUUCCCGAAACUAAUAAAAUUGUGUGAAAUUGCAGGAGUGCUGGAAGUUGGCCUCUCGAGAUGAAAGACUAAAAAAGGAGUAGUCUGAAGCAAAAGGCAAUAAAGGGUGCAGAAGCAAAAAUGUGCGGUCCGUAAAAGGAAUUCUACGGCCGCAAAAGAAAUUGCGAACCGCAGAAUUCCAUCUGUGGCCGCAAACCAAGAGGAAGAAUUUAGCAGAAAUGUGCGCAAAAUGUGGAACGCACAUGAAUUGUACGGCCGCAAAGCUGGGCUAAUAUUCGAAGAUCAGAGAGUAUGCAAAAAGACCAAUUCCAGGAGCUUCUGUGAAUUGCGGACCGCACAAGAAUUGUGCGGCCGCAGAAGAGUUGCCUUGCAGCCACAGUCCUAAUUGUGCGGACCGUAGAAGAUUUUCCUUGCGGCCGCAACACAGAAAUGUGCGGCCGUAGAAGAUUGCUUCGUGGCUGCAGUUCAAAAAUGUGCAGCCGCAAAACUCCACUUCCUACCAGAUGAAGAAUUCUGCGGACCGCAUAUGGAAUUGUGCAGCCGCAGAACCUCCCGAGGGGUAUUUUUAUCCGACAUUUUCAGCCUUGUAUAAAUAGACGAGUUUCACAAAAUUAGGUCAAGUUUUGAACAUCUGAAGUUGUUGUAGCUGUUUUUCUUGCUACUUUAGGAAGUUUUACUUUGCUUUGGUUUAUUUACAUUAGAUUUAAUCAUUUUAAGCUUCCAUUAUGAGUUUAAUUAAUUUUUCUUCCUUAUUUUCUUCAAAUCCCAUUAUGAGUAGCUAGUCUUUUACUAGGGUUGUGACCCAACCCUUGUGUAUAACCUUAUGGGUAUCUAAUUUAGUACUUUUUUAUGAUUGGGUGUUGAUUAUUUAGUUAAGUUCAUGCUUUAAUUGUAGAAUUAAUGGUUGCAAACAUUAGUUCAUGUCUAUUUGACUUAGUCUCUACUUGAGAAAGAGGGACCUAGUCUAGGAUAACUAGCUACCAAGGAAUUGAGUCAAUUGAGAGAUUGAUGAACCCAAUUAAAGGGUUCAACCUAGGGAUGGUAAUAACCCAACUUGAGCUCUUAUCAACUGUUUUGGGUGAUACCCAUUUGGUCUUGAGAAAGCUAAAUUGAGUAUAACCACUCUCUGACAGAGAGGUAUUGAGUGGGUAAUGUAGAGUGGGUUAUGGUCAAAGCCCUAGGCCUUUUACCCAUUUGGAAAACCCUAAAAACAAAUAUAUCUAGUCUAUUUUCUUUAUUUUGCAAUUUUAUUAACAGUAGAAAUAGAAAACAAAUCCCUGUUGUGGAAGUGCAAAUUAUAUAAUCCAAUUGCUCAUUUGAAAUAUAUACCCUUAACUCCCAUCUUAGCUCCCAGUGGAUUCGACCUCGACUCCUAGUUAUGUAUUUAUUAUUGCAUACGACCGUUUCAUAGUUCUAUUGAGGUGUGCCUUGGACGCGAUCAAUAUUUGGCGUCAUUGCCAGGGAGUUAAAAACGGUGUUAGCUAUAUAUUUGGGUGUGUUUUUGUAAUAUCUUCCUUUCCUUCCAUGUUACUAACUUGUUUGAAAAAUCAUAGCUACAACCAUGGCGAACAAUGAGCUCGAAAAUUUGCCUUUAGGGGAUGUGGACGUUGAGGAUGACCAAGUUGAUGAGGUUCCUCUUGAACCUCAAGUCAAUAGAAAAGGCUGAGUGCCUCAUGAUAAUAUCCCCGCUCCACCUCCACCUCCACCAUGAGUGGCUCCACACCGGGUGUUACCUAAUGAAGGAUAUUCUAGUGCAAUUGUCCCUCCCCAUAUUAGGGCGAGCAACUUUCAAAUCACCAAUGUGAUGCUCACUUUGCUAGAGCAACGAGGUUUCUUCACCGGUGCUCCAAGUCAAAAUGCAUACAAAUAUUUGAAGGGGUUUGUGGACAUGUGUUGGGGGAACAAACAAAAAAAUGUCUCCGAGGAUGCAUUGUGGCUAAGGCUUUUUCCCUUCUCUCUACGGGGAAAAGCUUUAGAUUGGUUAGAACGUUUUCCGAACCAAUCCAUUCACACUUGGGAUGAGUUGGCGGAAAAGCUUAUUUCUAAGUUCUUCUCUCCGAGGCACAUGGCUACACUUAAGGAUGAGAUUUUGGCAUUCAAGCAAGAGCCAAAUGAACCACUACACAAGAUAUGGGAACGUUAUAGAACAAUGGUUAAGGAAUGUCCUAACAACGAUAUGACGGAGAAUAUGAUUCAACAAGCUUUCUAUUGUGGGAUUAACACAACCAACCAAUGUGUAGUGAAUCAACUUGCUAGUGGGAACUUCAUGACUACGCCUUAUGCGGAGGUGUGUGAGAUUUUAGAUGAAAUGGCGAAAACAUCAUCGGCGUGGAAAUCCCGGGCCAAUGUUCCACAAGGUGAUCCGAACGUGAUCCACCUUCACAAAGAGUUGCAUGACCAUGGGUAAGCCAUUGCCGAAUUGACUACCACCAUGAAUUAAUUAGAAAAGGCUCAACUUCAACAAGGAAAAAUCCUAAGCAAGUCAAUGCCAUGGUGGGAGUGAACAUAAUGGUGAACAAAAGAUGGAUCAAGUAUCCACAAGUGCGACAUCGAGUGGAGAAUUAUGUGCAAGAAGAUAGUGGUUUUGAUCAAGAUGAUUCUUACAAUGAACAAGAAGAGGAGGUGCAAUAUGUGAACAACUUUCAAGUGCAACGAAACAACUUCCAAGGCCAAAACCAACAAUAAUGGCGACCUCAAAACAAUCAAGGCAAUUGGAAUUCUAACAACCAAGGAAAUUGGAGUGGCAACAAUCAAGGGAAUUGGCAUAGCAAAAACAAUCAAAGAAAUUGGGGAGGUAACAAUCAAGGCGGAUGGAACAAUAAUCAAGGAAAUCGGGGGUCGGGUUUUCAAAGGCCCCCGAUGUAUCAACAACCAAACAAUCUGCCUCCUUAUCCUCCCCAUGGUACAAGUUCUUUAAACAAUGAGAUGGGGCAUAUUGAGAAAGUGUUCAAAUAAAAAAUGGAAAAGAAUGUCGAUUAAGAUGCCCAACUUGCCUCACACAACACAUCGAUCCACAACUUAGAAGUUCAAAUGGGGAAAAUCUCUCAAGCUCUAAAUUCUCGUCCUAAGGGGGCACUACCAAGUGACACGGUAGUAAACCCAAAGGGUGGAAACAACACAGGUCAUACCAUGGCCGUUACUACAAAAAAUAAAAGAGGAGGGAAUGCACCCACCUCAAGUCAAAAGCAACUUGUGGAUGAUGAGCAAGUGAUACAAGAAGAAGAGGUCUCGAACAAUGUGGUGCAAUCAAAUGAGGAAGUUCGGAUUGAUAUUGAUAAUAAGGUGGAAGAGACUCAAGAGGAGAUGAACCCAUCUAGGGAUCACAUUAUUGACAUACCGGAUCUGGUAGUGCAAAAUGAUAUGGCACCAUUGCCUAAACCUUCACCUCCAUACCCUCAAAAAUUUUCCAAGCAAAAUGGCGAGAAUCAAUUCACGAAGUUCAUUAAAAUGAUGAAGAUUCUCUCAAUCAAUGUGCCAUUAGUUGAAGCUUUGGUGUAAAUUCCCGAUUAUGCAAAGUUUAUGAAGUAUCUCAUGACAAAGAAGCAGUCAAUGAAUUUUGAAACUAUCAAAGUCACUCAUCAAGUGAGUGCAAUUGUGCAUUCAAUUACUCCUAAGUUAGAAGAUCCCGAUGCUUUCACGAUUCCUUGUACAAUUGGAAGUGCCGAGUUUGCAAAAGCUCUUUGUGAUCUUGGGGCAAGUAUCAAUUUGAUGCCAUAUUCAGUUUUCAAGACCUUGGAAAUUGGGCAACCAAGAACCACCUCUAUGAGAUUGUAAGUGGCCAAUCGUACUAUGAAGAGACCUUUGGGAGUGAUUGGAUAUGUCUUGGUUCGUGUUGAUAAAUUCAUUAUUCCAGUGGAUUUUGUCAUUCUAGAUGUUGAAGUUGAUUAUGAGGUGUCGAUUAUUCUUGGAAGACCUUUCCUUGCAAAGGGGAAGGCUCUUUGUGAUGUUGAAGCUGGAGAACUCACUUUUCGUGUUGGUGAUGAAAACAUGGUGGUCCAUAUGUGUAAGUCCAUGCGGCAAUCAAAUAGCAAUGAGGUGUGCUCUUUUGUGGACAUGGUGACCGAUGUUAUUAUGGAUGACACAAGUGCUAUGAUCAAUGUUGGUGAUAUGUUGGAGGCCGUCUUUCUCAACUUUGAUGAUGACGAGACGUAUGGCUUCAUGGAAUGUGUGAACUCUUUGCAAGAAAUGGGGUCGUACAAUUAUGCACCCCAAAAAUUAUCUUUGGAUCUUGAAAAUAAGACAACUCCCCCUACAAAGCCUUCCAUUGAAGAGCCUCCUACCUUGGAGUUGAAACCAUUUCCUCCACAUCUUCGGUAUGAAUUUCUUGGCCCUUGUUCUAAUCUACCGGUUAUUAUUUCCUCUUGUUUAAGUAACGUGUAGGUAGAUUCUACAUUGGUGGUGCUACAAAAGAGGGAGAAGGGUAUUGGGUGGACAUUGGAGGAUAUUCGGGGAAUAGGCCCCAUAUUUUGCAUGCAUAAGAUCAACUUGGAGAAAGGCGCCAAACCAUCUAUUGAACAUCAAAGGAGACUCAAUGAGGCUAUGCAAGAAGUUGUCAAAAAGGAGAUUAUCAAGUGGUUGGAUGCCGGGGUUGUCUACCCCAUCUCCGAUAAUUCAUGGACUUCUCCGGUUCAAUGUGUCCCGAAGAAGGGGGGCAUGACGGUGGUCACCAAUGACAAGAAUGAGUUGAUUCCUACAAGAAUGGUGUCCGGAUGGAGAGUGUGUAUGGACUAUCGCAAGCUCAACAAAGUCACAAGGAAGGAUUAUUCUCCACUUCCUUUCUUAGAUCAAAUGCUUGAUAGAUUGGUCGGCCGUGCUUUCUAUUGCUUUCUUGAUGGGUAUUCGGGCUACAACCAAAUUCUUAUUGCUCUAGAGGAUCAAGAGAAAACAACCUUUACAUGUUCCUACGGUACUUUCACCUUCAAGCGGAUACCAUUUGGUUUGUGCAAUGCACCGGCGACCUUUCAAAGGUGUAUGAUGGCUAUCUUCACGGACAUGAUGGAGGACUACCUUGAAGUGUUCAUGGAUGACUUCUCGGUGGUUGGAGAUUCUUUUGAUGAUUGUCUUGCAAAAUUAGAUAAAGUGUUGGCAAGAUGUGAAGAAAAUAAUUUGGUGCUCAAUUGGGAGAACUGUCAUUUCAUGGUCGAGGAAGGCAUUGUCCUUUGCCAAGAAAUCUCAAAGAAUGAAAUGGAAGUUGACAAGGUAAAGAUUGAGGUGAUUUCUAAACUUCCACCUCCAUCUUCGGUGAAGGAUGUGCGGAGUUUCUUAGGCCAUGCGGGGUUUUACCGGCGUUUCAUCAAAGAUUUCUCUUAGGUAGUGAAUCAGUUGUACAAGCUUCUUGAGAAGGAUGCUAAGUUCAACUUUGAUAAUGAUUGCAUGCGAGCUUUUGAAUUGUUAAAUUUCAAGUUGACAACUACUCCCAUCAUCACCGCUCCAAAUUGGAGUGUCCCUUUUGAACUCAUGUGUGAUGCAAGUGACGUAGUGGUUGGGCUGUUUGGGGAAAUGCAUCAACAAGAUUUUUCACCAGUCUACUAUGCUAGUAAGACCAUGAAUAGUGCCUAAGUCAACUAUACCGUUACGGAGAAAGAGCUCCUUGCCAUUGUGUUUGCAAUUGAGAAGUUUCGCCCGUACUUGAUGGGUACAAAGGUCAUUGUCCACACUUCGUUAUCUUAUGAGCAAGAAAGAUUCAAAAGCUCGGUUGAUGAUAUGGGUGCUUUUAUUGCAAGAGUUUGAUAUUGACAUCCAAGAUAGAAAAAGGAGUGAAAACCAAGUGGCAGACCACUUUUCUAGUUUGGAGGAGGAGGGGAGGCCGCAUGAUGGCCUUGAAGUCAAUGAUUCCUUCCCCGAUGAGCAACUCUUGGCUAUUUCAAUAAAAGAGGUGUUAUGGUUCGCGGAUCUAGCAAAUUUUCUUGUAUGUGAAAUCAUUUCGGAUGAGUUCUCUUCAAACCAAAGGAAGAAGCUCAAACGGGAUUGUCAAGAAUAUUAUUGGGAUGAACCAUACCUUUUCCGGAUUUGUACGGAUGGGGUAAUUUGAAGAUGUGUAUCGGAAGAAGAGCAAGAUAAAAUUCCUGGGACUUGUCAUUCUUCGCCAUAUGGUGGUCAUCAUAGUGGAGCAAGAACGGCGGUCAAAGUGCUAAGUUGCGGUUUCUAUUGGCCCGCUCUUUAUAAGGACGCUAGUGAGCUAGUGAAAAGAUGUAAUGAAUGUCAAAGGUCGGUGGAAUCUCAAAGAAAAAUGAAAUGUCUCUCACUACCUUUCGGUGCAUUGGACUUGAAGAACAAAAAUAAUGAAGUAUUUCGAGUCAACAGUCAUCGGGUGAAACACUAUUUGGGAAAAUUUGGAGAUAGCCACUUCAUGGCAGUCAUUCAUUUCAACUGAUGGUAUUAUGCGUCGUGUCGCGACGUUAAAUCAGGCGCUUCUUGGGAGGCAACCCAUGUUUCUAUUCUUCUUUUGUAGUUAGGUGUUAUUUUUGUGCUAACUUGAUUUGAAGUGUGCUACAAGGAUAAGUGUGACUUACAAGAAUUGUGGACAGAAAUCUGGCUAAGUGUUGUAAGAAUUACGGACCGUAGUUGAAUUGUGCAGACGGCAUGUUUAUAGUUGCUGCAGCAAAAGUGCACUUCGGCCGCACAAUUAUCUUGCGGACCGCACAAAUAGGAGGUGGAAAAUAUCAACACUCUGAAGUUUGGUCUGUCAAAGAAAAGGUCAAUUUGCGGCCGCAAAAGUAAAUCUGCGGUUGCAACAUGGAAUCUGUGGUCGCACACAAAAUUUUGCGGACCGCAGACAAGAUGCCAAAUUAAGCUCACCAGGUAACAGAGUGAGGACUGCACACGAAAUUGUGUGGCUGCACUCGCCCCUCCUCCCCUUGGAAAACCAAGUAGUAUAAAUAGAGGGCUAAGGGCAACUGUUACAUUUUUUUUCCCUCUCUGAGCACAAACACAAUAAUCUCUUGAAAUUUCUGGGUGAAUCUGUGUGUACACACAUACAACAUCUUUGAUCAGUCAUUCCUCACACUCAUUCAUUUGGUAUGCUUCAAUUUCUUGUUAAGUGUUUUUUUAAAUUUGUAGAAUUUUAGUCAUUUUUCGGCCAUUUGUCAAUAGAAUUCAAUUGUGCAUUCAUGUAGAGGUAAAUCUGUAGUGGGUUAACUAGUACAUUCUCUAUGGGGACUAGAUCAAUGCAUUUUCAUGCCUUUGUGCUGUUACCAUACCAAAAUUUGCAAAAAACGAAAUUGCAAAACCUAGAUAGACAUACUAGACCAUUCAUAAUUCUUUUGAAUUCUGCAGCCUAACCUGAAAUUAUGCGGUCCAUAGAAGUUGAUCUAGAGCAAAAUUAGUGAGGAAGGGGUUUGUGGCCACAAGGUAAAAUGUGCGUACCGCAGAAUUCCCGCUGCGGCCGCAGAACAACCUUUUUACCAUCAUCAGAGAGUCUACAAAAUUGUGACUCAAAUGUGCGACCGCCAGUCUAAUUGUGCGGACCGCACAAAUCAUGUUGCGGCCGCACAACAGCCAAAUAUCUGUCAUCAGAGAGUUGGCAUAUUUUAGACUUCUGAGUUACGGCCACAAGUGAAAUUAUACAGACUACACUUCACGUUUUUCGGCUGCAAGACAAAAUUAUGCAGUCCGCAAGGCCUCAUCUGCGGCCGCAAGAAAAUUGUGCGGACCGCGGAUCCUUAUCUUGCAAGCAUGAUUAAACUGUGACCCCCACUGUGUUCUUGGUUUAUACUUGCAUGUCUCCUUGUUUGACUGAACAUUAAAUUGCAACUAACAAUCGCUUCUGCUAGAUACAGAUAAUGGUUCGAUCUAGAGGCUGAGGUGACACUUCAAAAGGGAGGGGUGAACCUUCUAGAGGUCGAGGCAAGAGUAUCAUACCCCUCAGCCAACAAAGGAAAAUAACAAAGAAAGCUAAAACCGGUAGAGGGAGAGGUGCAGAUCUCUCCGAGACGAGCUCUUAUGUCCCUCUAGGGAAGAUUCAGAGGGCAACUCAGUCUCUGUUCAAAAGCAGUCGGUCGUACAGUCAAGGCCACAAGGAAGAUACCAACUCAGGGAUGAGUCAUCCUCAUCUCAUAGCACUUCUGAGGGAUCGAAAAGUGCUAGUCGAGCUUCUGAGCCAUCGGCUACACCUGUUCCUGAGGCACAAUAUACACCAAUUCAAGAUAUCCCCGAUGAUGGCAGAGGGGGUGAUGCUACAGCUCCCAGCCUUGAAUGGUCGAAAAACAAAGAGGUCUGGGAGGACCAUUUUGUUAGCUUGGGUGCCUUCACCAGCUUUCAUACUUGGUGGCCAAUGAGGUCGCUUACUCUUAAGCGAUAGUUUUAGUUGAAAGAUCUGGAGAAGUACAACCCAACAGUGUUGAGACAGUUCAAGGAACGCAAGGGGUGAAUGUGGUUCACCCAAAGUGUCAUGGAUUCCAAAGAGUACCUUGUCCAUGAAUUCUACGCCAAUGUGGCGCAUAUCAAAAAGGGGACAAAGGUCACCAAAGUGCGUAACCUCAAAAGAGAUUUGAUCAGCAUAAACUCAACACAUACUUGGGUUUUGAAGAUGUUGAGCCAAAGAAAUAUUUGGAGAAUUUUGAGAUGGGAGAUGCAUCCCGGCCUUGGUUAGCAGAGAUUCUAGCAACACCAGGGCCGCCACCACAAAGGAUUGCACUGGGGUUCCUAUCCACAGGAGCACACUGAGUUUCGAGGUGAAGGAGUGGCAAACCUUUGUCUGCAGCAGACUGAACCUGAGUCAAAAUGAGACUUACCUUCUGAUUCCUCGGGCAGUUGUGGUUGCUUCUAUUAUGGUCGGGUACCCUAUCAAUGUGGGGGUCGUGAUAUCGGCCAACAUCUCAGUGAUUACUCGGCAAGAUGACUCGUCCUAUCCGUACCCCAACACUAUUACAGAAUACCUCACAGAUGCAAGGGUAGAUCUGAGGGAUUAUGACACAAAGGUAAGGCUGAAGAAGCCUUUUACUUGGUAUUCACUGAUGGAUACGAACAACCCCAAAGAAUAAAGUUAAUCCUCCUACCACUGCGGGCCAGUCUGAUGAGCCAGCUUUGGUAGAUGUUGAUGCAGUUAUUGUUCCAUCCACUUCGGCCGAGCCUUCUUCCAGUGUCGUAGAUAUGCCUCCGCCAUCAUCCAUAGCCCGUUCGGCAGCUCCUGCUAUAGCUUCCACUUUCUGCGAUGCAAGUCUCCCAGACAUUGGCGAGCCUCAACAACUGGAUACAAAGAGCAACUACAAAGUUGUCUGACUUAUCCAAUACUGUUGCAGCACAGUCUACUACUCAGGCACCUCAGUUUGCCCCGACAGUUGAGGAGACAUUUAUGAAGAUCCUAGAGAACUAGACCAUCAAUAUGGCGACCUUGGUGCAGCAUAGGUCAAUGAUCGAAGAGCUGGAAAAAAGAAGUAAAGAAGAUGAGAAAGUCCCAGGCCAGCAAGAAGUCAGUGGACAAGCUCCAAAGACAGGUGACCAGGAUUGCUACAGCCGGAGAUCUUCCAUUUGACAUGCUGAUUGACCACACCAUUCAGGCCCAGAUCCUACAGCACCAACAGCACCGGUGGCAUCAGCUGGCUAGUCUGAGGAGACAAACCCUGCUGCCGACACUACCGAGGAAGUGCAUCAUAUGUUCACCAACCCGACCAUACCCAGAGUUGAGGAUGAUGAGAUUCAGUUGGAUGAGACUGAGGGUGGAGACAUUGAUGGGGACACAGAGAUGUCCAAGGAGCCAUAGGGAGUUUUCUUCACUCUUUCCCCUCUUUUAAUCUUGUUUUGUUAAGAAGUCCUACUUGAUUUCAAGUUGAGUGAGCUUACAUUAGUGGCGAUCUACAUGAGGGGCAAGCCUAUGGUACUUGAAGUCGUACUUGGACAUUCUCUUGAGAGAGAUGAGUGAGUCUUUCAUAAAUCUUUGGAUUGAGUGCUAAACUUCUUAAGUAAGCUAGUUGAAUGAAAAGUACAGAAGGAAGAGUUUGGAGUCCACCAUGACCUACAUGAUAGAGCAAGAGUCCUUGAUGAGUAAAGUCAAUUCUUGAAGCUCGAAUGUCACAUUAGAACUAUAUGUGCAUGAAUGUUUAACUUGUCGCCUUGUUGAUAAUACAUGAGUAGUGUGGGUAAUUGUUGGUCCCAACUGAUGUGUGGAUAACUCACCUUUGACUUGCUGAAAUGUCCCUUAAUUUUUGGAGGUGGGAACUAAUUCAUUUGCUUGAGGACAAGCAAAGAUUUAAGUUUGGGGGAGUUGAUACGUGGGGAUUUUGACUGCUUAUCAACGCCUUUUAGCUUUUGUUUUAGUCCAAAAGUAUUGAAUUGUGUUCCCGCAACUAAUAAAAUUGUGCGAAAUUGCAGGAAUGAUGGAAAAUGGCCUCCCGAGAUGCAAUCCGACUCAAAAAGGAGUAGUCUAAAGCACAAGGCAAUAAAGGGCACAGAAACACAAAUGUGCAGUCCGCAAUAGGAAUUAUGCGGUCGUAAACCAAGAGGAAGAAUUUAGCAGAAAUGUGCGCAAAGUACAGACCGCACAUGAAUUGUGCGGCCGCAAAGCUAGGCUAAGAGUUGAAGAUCAGAGAGUAUGCAAAAAGACCAAGUCCAUGAGCCUAUGUGAAUUGCGGAUCACACAAGAAUUGUGCGACCGCGGAAGAGUUGCCUUGCGGCUGCAGUCCUAAUUGUGCGGACCGCAGAAGAUUUGCCUUGCGGCCGCAACAUAGAAAUGUUCGACCAUAAAAGAUUGCUUCGCGGCCGCAGAACUCCACUUCCUUCCAGAUGAAGAAAUCUGCAGACUGCACAUGGAAUUGUGCGGCCGCAUAACCUCCCGAGGGGUAGUUUUGUCCGACAUUUUCAGCAUUGUAUAAAUAGAAGAGUUUCACAAAAUUAGGUUAUGUUUUGAACAUCUGAAGUUGCUGUAGCCGUUUUCUUACUACUUUAGGAAGUUUUACUUUGCUUUGGUGUAUUUAUAUUAGAUUUAAUCAUUUUAAGCUUCCAUUAUGAGUUUAAUUAGUUUUUCUUUCAUAUUUUCUUCAAAUCCCAUUAUGAGUAGAUAGACUUUUACUAGAGUUGUGACCCAACCCUAGUGUGUAAACCUUAUGGGUAUCUAAUUUAGUGCUUAUUUAUGAUUGGGUAUUGAUUAUUUAGUUGGGUUCAUGCUUUAAUUGUAGAAUUAAUGGUUGCAAAUAUUAGUUCAUGCCUAUUUGACUUAGUCUCUACUUGAGAAAGAGGGACCUAGUCUAGGAUAACUUAGCUAACAAAGAAUUGGGUCAAUUGAGAGACUGAUGAACCCAAUUAAAGGGUUCAACCUAGAGAUAGUAAUAACCCGACUUGAGCUCUUAUCAACUGUCUUGGGUGAUACCCAUUUGGUCUUGAGAAAGCUAAAUUGGGCAUAACCACUCUUUGACCGAGAGGUAUUGAGUGGGUAAUGUAGAGUUGAGAGCUAUAAUACACCCCAAUCAACAAAAUAAGCAUUGACGUUUUUAUCCCAUUGGGCAAUCACCUGGGUUAUGGUCAUAGCCCUAGGCCUUUUACCCAUUUGGAAAACCCUAAAAACAAAUAUCUCUAGUAUAUUUUCUUUAUCUUGCAAUUAUUAUUAACAUUAGAAAUAGAAAACAAAUCCAUGAUGUGGAAGUGCAAUUUAGAUAAUCUAAUUGCUCAUUUGAAAUAUAUAUACCCCUAACUCCCAUCUUAGCUCCCAGUGGAUUCGACCUCGACUCCAAGUUGGGUAUUUAUUAUUGCAUACAACCAUUUCAUAUCUCUAUUGAGGUGUGCUUUGGACGUGAUCAACUAGCUAUCAACAUGAUUUUCGGAGGGAGUGAAAUCAACAGUGUAGCUUUCUCGGCGGCCAUGAAAAUAAAGGUAUCAGUGACACAUAGCAAGAGACUCUGGGAAGUCGCCGAGGAUGAUAUCACCUUCACGGAGGAAGACGUCAAUGGACUCCUUCUGUCGCACAACGACGCGCUGAUAAUUUAUCUUAAUGUUAUAGAUUUCAAGAUUAUACGUGUUUUGGUUGACCCAAAAAGUUCAGCCAACAUCAUCCAAUGGAGAGUGUUGAAGCAAGCCAAAUUAACCGGAAGUAUCAUUACGGCAACAAAACUCCUUGACGAGUUCAAUUUGGCGAGUGUGACAACCCGAGGGGAGAUCCUGCUACCCAUGAACACCAAAGGGGUCACGAAGACCACCUUAUUUGAGGUGGUGGACGGCAACGUGGGCUAUAACAUAAUCCUCGGUAGACCAUGGUUACAUGAGAUGAAGGUUCUACCAUCAACAUAUCACCAUCUACUGAAAUUCCCGACCCCAUAGGGAAUUAAGCAAAUAAGCGAAGACCAAUCUGUAGCGAGAGAAAUGAAUGCAGUAUUGGUUUCUAGCACUAAAGGGAAGGAACUCGACAAAUAGUAAUUACAGGAACCGACGCAUACUCCCGAGCCAAGCAAAGAUGAUAAAGGAGAGGAGUCAUCGUAAUCCCACCAGGUACAGAGAUACUUUCAGGUACAGGAAGAGACAGACGCGACCAAGUCCCCGGCAGAAGAACUCAAACAAGUGGCUUUGUUUGAGGAAUUCCUGGAGACAAAAUUUCACUUGGGGACAUGACUCAACCCCGAGCUCAUGUUAGGAUUUAUUAAUUUCCUUAAAACUAACAUCGAUUGUUUCGCAUGGUCGCACGCGGAUAUGACAAGUAUCCCACUAGAGGUGGUCGUCCACAAGCUAAGCCUGGACCCAAGCGUCCCACCGGUAAGGCAGAAGAAGCGCUUGAUAGCUGAGGUCAGAAACAUAUUUGUUAAAGAAGAGGUAACUCGACUACUUGAUAUUAGUUCAAUCCGGGAAGUAAAGUAUCCCGACUGGCUAGCUAAUAUAGUUGUAGUUUCAAAAAAGAAUAACAAAUUUCGAAUGUGUGUAGAUUAUAAAGACUUGAAUAAGGUGUGCCCAAAAGACUCGUUCCCAUUGCCGAACAUCGAUAAAAUGAUAGAUGCAACGACAAGACACGAGUUAAUGAGUUUUAUCGAUGCCUAUUCUCGAUAUAAUCAAAUUAAAAUGAACCCGAAGAAUCGGGAAAAACUUCGUUCAUAACAAACUUUGGCACAUAUUGUUAUAAUGUGAUGCCCUUGGGGCUUAAAAAAGCUAGAGCCACUUAUCAGAGGCUCGUGAACAAGAUGUUCGAGAAACAAAUAGGUAAAAUAAUGGAAGUAUACAUAGAUGAUAUGUUGGUCAAGUCCUUCAAUGCAGGUGACCAUUUAAAAUACCUCUAAGGAAACCUUCGAUAUCUUGAGGAAGCACAACAUGAAACUCAACCCCAAAAAAUACGUGUUUGGGAUUAGCUCCGGUAAGUUUUUGGGUUUCUUGGUUUCACAAAAGAGGGAUUGAGGUAAAUCCCGAUAAGAUCAAAGCCAUCGAGGACAUCCCAGACAAGCUGACAAGCAAGAAAGAAGUCCAAAGGCUAACCGAAAGAUUAGCCUCUCUAAGCAGGUUCAUCUCUCGAUCUUCGGGAAAAUGUCACACUUCUUCUCACUUCGGAAGAAGAAGAAAAAUUUCAAAUGGACUCUAGAAUACCAACAGUCCUUAAAAGACCUAAAACGUUAUCUAUCAAGCCCUCUGCUACUAUCCAAACCGGGGGAAGGCGAACAUUUGCUUAUAUACUUAGCGAUCUCAGAGGUAGCGAUAAGUGUCGUUCUAGUCUAGGAGGACAAAGGUACGCAAUCUCCUAUCUAUUAUGUUAGCAAAAUUUUGUCAGGACCGAAAACUCAUUAUCCGCACCUCAAAAAACUAGCCUUAACUCUCAUAGUCACCUUCAAAAUCUUAGGCCUUAUUUUUAGUGUCACCUGAUAGCCGUUGUGACAACCUUUUCCUUGCGGAAUGUCCUUCACAAACCUGAGUUGUCGGGUCGGUUGGCCAAAUGGGUAGUUGAAAUUAUUGAAUUUGAUAUUGAAUAUAAGCCCAGGACUGCGAUCAAAUCACAUGUUCUGGCCGACAUUGUGGCUGAUUUCAGUCUCGGGUUUCUAUUUUUGGCUACAAAAGAAGCAGUGAUGGUGUCGAAAACAACGUCAGAAGUUUGGAUCUUGUUCACAGACGGAGCUUCCAAUAUGAAAGGGUCUGGGCUCGGGGUGGUCCUAAUCACUCCUUCCGGGGAAACUUUGAGGCAGGCCAUAAAAACUAUUCCUUUAACUAACAAUGAAGCCGAGUAUGAGGCAUUGAUUGCAGGACUCGAACUAGCCCGGGGACUUAGCUUCGAGGUCAUAGAGAUCAAAUGUGAUUCACAACUGGUAGUAAACCAAGUAUAUGGGAUCUUUGACACAAGGGAGGAAUGCAUGCAACAAUAUGUGAUUAGAGUUCAAACCUUGCUCACACGGUUUAGGGAGUAGUCGAUCACCCAUAUCCCGAGAGAAGAAAACGUAGAAGCAGAUGCAUUGGCCAAUUUGGUGUCAUCCAUGGAAAUAAAAGGAUCAGAUUUCGAUACUUUCAAUCAGCUUAUGCAUUCGGUACUAGGUGUGGACGGCUAUUGUGAAGUAAAUACAACCAACCUAGUAUGGUACUGGAGGAAUGAAUUCAUCGAUUACCUUCAGCAUGGCAAGCUGUCCGAAGACCCGAAGGCAUCCCGGGAAAUACGCACCAAAGCGGCUCUCUACAGCCUCUAGGGUGGACAGUUAUAUAGAAGGUUGUUCCAAGGCCCGUUGGCCCGAUGUUUAGGAGCCUCGGAGGCAAACUACAUCAUGAGAGAGGUCCAUGAAGGAAUUCGCGGGAACCAUUUCGGUGCAGAUUCGUUGGUGCUAAAACUAGUUAGAGCAGGAUACUAAUAGCCACGGAUGAAACAAGAAGCAAAGGCAUUCGUUCAGAAAUGCGACAAAUGUCAGCGCCAUGCACAGUUGGUGCACCAACUGGCAGAACUCUUGCAUUCGGUACUAUCCCCAUUGCCAUUCAUGAAAUGAGGGAUGUAUAUAGUUGGGUCGCUGCCAACGGGUCCCAGGAAGGUAAGAUUUCUUUUAAAUUUAACCGAUUACUUCACUAACUGGGUUGAAGUAGGUCCUUACCAAAAUAUCGGUGAGCGCGAAGUGGUCGACUUCCUAUAGGAAAAUAUAAUUUUUCGGUUCGAAAUAUCGAAGGAGAUUGCCUGUGAUAACUGGCCACAGUUCAUAGGCUCCAAAGUCACAAACUUUCUUGAAUACCUAAAGAUUAAUAGGAUUACAUCUUCACCAUACCAUCCGAGCGCUAAUGGGUAGGAGGAAUCAACCAAUAAAGUGAUUAUUCAAAACCUCAAAAAGAGGUUGCAAGCAACCAAAGGUAAGUGCCCCGAAGAGUUACCGGGCGUGCUAUGGGCGUACCAGAUGACGGCAAAAUCAAGCACGGGAGAGACACCUUUCUCUCUCGUAUACGGUGCAGAAGCUCUGCUCCCGGUGGAAGUAGGAGAACCAACCUUACAGUACUUCCGAACGUAUGAAGAAGCAAAUAAUGAGGCAUUGCUGGUCAAGAUGCAAUUGCUUUAUGAACAAAGGACAUAGCAUACAUAAGAAUGGUGGCUCAAAAACAAAGGAUGGAAAGAUACUAUAACCGGAGAGCCAAUCUCCGCUACUUUAAAGUAGGAGACUUGGUUUUGAGGAAAGUAACUCAUAACACUCGAGAGAUCAACGCUGGAAAGCUGGGUCCGACGUGGGAAGGUCCCUAACGGAUUUCAGCUGUCACCGGGAAGGGAUCAUACGAAUUGAAGAAUCAAGAUGGAGUCAAAUUUCCAAGCAACUGGAACGUGACUCACCUAAAAAGGUAUUACUGCCGAUGGAUCCUACUUAUACUGAAAGUAUGUGCUACACUUCUUUUCCCUUCGACCAAUUUUUGUCUCAAUCGAGUUUUUCUGGCAAGGUUUUUAACGAGGCAUCAACGGAAAGCAUACUACGAAGGGAGCAUCAUCAGCAAUGAUAAGACCUUUAAAUGUCAAGCACUAAAACAACAAGCCACUAUGGGAUGGUUAGAUAGUAUUUGGCUCGAUGGCGAAGUUCCUAACGGGAAACGAAGCUUGUCAUCGGACCAAAGAUUAUCCAACCGUUCACAAAUAUUUUUCUUCAAAUGAGCAAGACUUCUAUUAUUCCAAUUCGCAUACUUUGCAUUCGAACACUGGGGGGAAUAGUAUAAGAAUAUGACAACAUGAUUGCCAAAAAAAUUGGGAUUGCGAGACUCAGGAACAAUAAUGUCUCAUAGGACCGGGGACUACACGGCUAGCCCCGUAUAAACAAGUUGUACUAAUUAGCCACAUGUAUUGGCAAUUUCUUUUUUUCUUAGCAAUCAAAUGCUUAUGUACUUUUAAAGAUAGAAGGAAUAAAAUAAAGUCAUUUUGUUUUUAUCUUAUUUCUUGUCCAAACGAUGAAUUGAUUUUAUCAUUUGAAAGUUUACUAAAAACUUCAAAUGCUAGUGACAGAAUGAACAAGAGACAUCCUCUCCAAGAGCACCGUAAACAUAAGAGGGCCCUCUCUUAUGAAACCCUCAUAGUAAAGGGUUAGUUCCGGAAGAAUUUAUGCCCGGAACCCAAAAGCUAUCGGAAGAAAACACAUUUGAAGCCUUACCUAAUUCGACGCAAAAAGAAUGAACUUUGUGCAAUGCUUAAACAAAAAGUCCUUUUUAUUUAUCAAACAUGCCAAACAGCAUAAGUGCAAAAAUACAAAGGGAAAACAACAAAAGAAAAAAGGAAAAAGCUAAACUUCAUCGCCACCGAAACUCGAGGAAGAGAGUCAUCUACGCCCUUGGGAGAAGUAGGUGGAUCUGUUGCCGGUGCAGGAUCUUGGCCCUUAUCAGCAUCCUCUUCAAGUUCCUCCUCAGUCCCCGAAUACUCGGUGCCAGUACUAGAAGGUCCAGUUAUGUUGGACCAAGCCGGGAGACGUUCUCGAGCAGUUAACUCCAGUGCUCAGGCCUUGGUAAUAUCAUCAUCAAUAUCAAUAACGCCUGUUGUGGCCUCCUCCAAGGUUUUCCUCCUCAUAUGGUACAUAGAGUAUGUCUUUUCAAAGAUUGGGGAAUCCCCUUGGUGCUGGAGCAUUGCCUUGAGCCUGUCAACCUCAACAAAAAGGCCAUCCCGCUCGGUUCUCAUGGAACCAAGGCUAAGAUCGAGAUCACGGAUUGUAGAUAUGUGAGCCCUAUUUUGAUCCAUGAUCUUCUUAUACCAGCUUACAUCCGAGCCUGCUUCUCCUCGGCAGCAGCAACCUCUUCAGUUGUGGAGUUCAAGGCUGCCUCCAAGUUAUUUGCUCGUUCAAUGGAGGCACACUCGUGCUCGGUAGCAGCAAGAGCAGCAUCUUGAGACUCAGCCCACCUAGACUUAGCAUCUUAAAGUUGAGCAUGUAGCUGAGUGGCUUCUUGACUACGAGUCAUCGCCUCAUGCUCACUUUGCUGCAACCGAGCCUUAAGCUCGACAGUUUUAGCAGACUUUGCCUCUAGCACAGGGAGGCGUGCAGCGAGUUGAUUCCUCUCGGCCAAUAGUUGAUCCCGCUCGGACAUGAGUCCUUCUUUAUCAAGUAUCAAUAUCUGAAGGUCUUCGGAAGUGAGGAAGUUGCCUGUAAACCUGUAUCAAAGUCAGAAACCCUGUUAUAACAGACGAAUAAAAACAAACAGUGAGAGAACAAGUAUGGUACCGCUGCCGCAUUAUGCAUAGCAUUAUUCAACAUACACUCUCCUGAAAGAGAGUAUUUUCUUCUUAUCUUUUUUUGAAGCCAGCGGCUUUAGAUAGUUGGCAAGCUCUACCAGCCUGGAUAGCAGAUGGCACUUCUUUGAAACCGAGGGAGUGACGCUCCUCCUCCCUCGGGGAUCUGGAGAAGGGGGUGAGUAGUUGUGCCCUAAAUUCCCAUGGUCAGGGGACUUGGGAGGGGAUACAUCUUCUUCUCGGGCACCUGCGGCCGGUGCAGGAGAUGCAACAGUUUCUGGUGAUGAAGGCACAGCUAGUGUGGAGGGAGAUGAAGCUGAUGGUGUUAUGGGUUGAGAAGUAGUUGCGACAGAGGCAGUGCUGAUUAUUGGUUGCUCAUCAACCAAAGGCAGAAGAGGCUAGGUAUUCGACCUCAUAGGACUGGAAGCAACAACUGGGACCGGAAAGGGAGAAUCGACAUUCUUUACUAAAUCUAUUUCUCCCUAGAGCGCUUGGACCUCGCCCUCGAUUGGGGUUCUGAGCUCUCCAGAUUGAGCAUUAUGUUGAGCUGAUGAAGAUCGUUGUCUCCAUUGAAGGGGAUCCUCUUCAUCAUUAGCUUCCCCGUCAUCAUCAAUGACCAUAGUGGUUGUGACCGGCUCGGGCGUGGCCUUCUUUAUUUUCUUAUUUCUAUUCCAAGCCGAUGAAGAACUCUGCCUUUUUGGUUGGUUGUUCUCUGGCUGGGGACUCUGAGAGGAAGCACCUGCACCGGAGGCAGAUCUGAGGGCACCACUCCGAAUAAGAGCCUCUUGCAACAACCUCGCAGCCUCUGCAGGAUCAGUCAAAACCUCGACAUCGGGGCAGGUAACAAAACCUUGCGGGAGUCCUGAAUAAAACAAAAAGGUACAGUUAGCAAAGUAUGUUUAUGUAUAUGCAGAGGCGGAAAGUAGAAAGAAUCUGUUUACCAUGGUUCUUGGCCUUCCACCCGUAUUUGGGGGCCAACUCCUUCCACCGACGGGUAUCUGGCAUAGUAAUAUCCAAAAUCUUCUGAACCCAUUGGUCCAGGCCUUCAACCCCUGGUGGUGUCCAAUGAGUAGCUAAAAUAACGGAAGUAAAAGGGUUAGCAAUGACAUGGAACAAGCUUUUACGAAGAAAGAGAUAGAUUAUAAACUUACGUGAACGACUCUAAGAUUCGGGAAAAGAGGGAGUUAUGUCCGGGAUGAUAUCCCUGGUAGCAAUGAUGACAAAUCGCUCCAUCCACCCACAAUCAUUGUCAUCAUCCACGCUGGUAAGCAAAGCAUGGUGUCCACGCUUGCUAAAAUUUAUCACUCCCCCAUGGAAGAUUUUGGAGGAGUAGAGGUUCAUCAUAUGUGCCAGGGAAAAGGUCUUCCAUGCCUCCAAGCAUAGCCGGCACAGACUAGCCACCAUUCGCCACACAGAAGGAUCUAUUUAUGCCAAGCAAACCUGACACCGAUGGCAGAAUUCCAAGAUCACGAGGUCAAGUUCCCCGCUCAAUGAAAAUGAGACCAAAGUGAAGGGGUACAUAUAAACAUACGUAAAACCAUUCUUGGCGAAAGUAACCUGCUCUACCAAGCCAGGAGCGAUGAUAUUUAGUUCAUGGCAGUCACAAUCCUCCUUCACAGUAGGAAUACUGGAAGGGCGGAUAGAAGAAUAAUACCUACUAAUAGCCCAAGUUUGAGGGUUUGUAGAGGGAAACUUCUCUUGGAAGUCGUUGGCGGUACUCAUGUGUUUAGGUAUGAUAGUGCUUAUCGUGGGGGGAUCAGCAUCAGCAUCAACCUCUUUAUCUUUGCCUAUCUUCGAGCCUCCACCGAAGAGAAGACCGGAGUUCUUGAAAGAUUUAGUAAAAGAAGCCAUAAUGGUAAGAAGAUGAUAGAGUCCUUAGAAGAAGAUUAGAGAGAGAGAUGAAAGUAGAAGGAAGUCAAGUGCAAACAGGAUAAAAGAUCUUAUGAAGUUGUUAGAAGUGAAUGAGGCAAAAUGGUACGUAUAAGUAAAGAUAUACGCAGCUAAAAUCGUGGUAAUGAUUACCUCGAGAUUCGGCAAAAAUAUUAUUGAAUCGUGGGGCAACAGGUGUUCGGGGUAUUAAAUGCGAGGAGACGUGCAUCUUAUCAAAUGUAAGAGAUUGUUCAGAGGGGAUCAAAAAAAAUUUCGCCAAGAAAGGAAUCUUUACCAACUUCCCGAUGACACAAAGAUGUGCCACCAAAAAGCAGGGAGACUAUCUGUAUAGGGUAAAAUUGGUUUAUAUUAAAUAAUCGAAUAAUUGCGUGACACGUGAAAACGGAGACAAACGGAAGAUGUGUCGAGUAAUAACCGAGACCGGGGGCAACAACUGCAGUUAGUGUCAGAUAGAUCCCGAACGGAGCAUAAUCAACGGGGGCAAAACGAAUGUUUGUCACUAGAUGGCAUUUAAUAAAGAAUAUUCAUUAAUAUUAAAUAGGCAACCAUUGCAGAUAAUUUUGGCAUUCAUGGCCUGCCGUUAUACCUUCAUCAAUGGCCUCCCUUUAUUGUCAUUCAAGAGGGGCUUGAUCCUAGGAUCUUGUUCCCUAGAUAGAGCUAUAAACAGUGGCUUCAAUAACCAUUGCCAGGGACGAAAUCUCUGGCAAAACUUAUGUUAUACUUUAUUCUCAAGCUAAAUAAUAUAACUUUAGUUUUGUGUUUGACAUUGCUCUUACUGCUGUCCUCGGAAGCAUUGCUCCCGGAGCUAGGCUUGCUAUUUGCUUUGAUUCUAACGCUACGUCUUAUUUUUAAUUUUAUUUAUUUAUUAUUUUGGAUAAAAUCAGUCCGCUUGUCUAUAAAUCAUGCAACAAAUUCAACUGUACCGUUUUACGGGUAAAUAAUGUGUUCAAAAAUCAGUAAAACAAAAUAAGAACAAACUAAAAAUAAAACAGCAAACAAUAAGCAUUAUAAAAUUGUUUAUUUCUUAUCAAUCCUUAAUAGUACUAUGAAAUGUUCUAUUUCUAAAGUAAAGUUUUAAAUUAUUAAUCACACCAUUUAUUAUACUUUCAAAGUCUACUCCGAUAAUACAAUGUUAAGUCAUUGUAUGUUAUAGAAUGACUAAAUCCUUACUUCUAAAAUUGAUAGUGGUGGUGGUGUUGUUGUUGCUCCACAUUUGAUGCUUACAGAGACCUUCAUCCGCUACUUUAUCCGCUUCUUCAGUCGUAAAUAUUUUUAUACCGGGCCUCGUACCUCACUUGAACAACACCAGAUACGUAUGCAAAUUAUCAUUAUUUUUAUGAACAAAGAAUGUAUCUUUUCCCUUGUUGGAGAAAAACUAAGCAUGUAAGUAAUGGGCAGCUGCCUCAGCGAGCAUGUUAAUUGACCUCAUNNNNNNNNNNNNNNNNNNNNNNNNNAACCAAUGGUUGGGGUAGGUCUGUUUAAUAAUGGUUUAUUGUAAAUCAAUAGUCGAGCGACGAAUAAAUUAUAAACUUGGGUUAAAAAUUACAGAACUCAAACUACACAAUAAUGAUGAAGAAGAAGAGAUUUGACCACUGACCAAUUGAUCCGAGGACAAUAAAUAUCCCUUAGAAGUACUUUCCAAUCUAUUGCACUGCCAUAUUAACCCCCAAAACGACAAAUUCGAGCUCCCUUGCCAAAUGGAGUUGACUGCUAAGGAGCUAAAAAUAUGGUUUUGAGAGGAAAGAAGGAAGAAGGAAAAAAGUGGAGUGGAGCUCUAUGCGCAAAAUGGAGAAAAAACACAAGCUAAAAUGGAUAACAAUGGCAGAUUUGGGUGCAGGAAGAGGAAGAGGAAGAAGAGGGUGGGAAUGAGAGAUAAUGGAUUUUGGAGAAAAAAAUUGUAUUUUUUUAUCUAUAUAUGGUGAUUAAUGUGUAAUAAUUGAAACUUUGAGGCUGGGUCAGAACUUCCCACUAUGCACUUAUUAAUCGCAAUCACCCACUAAUGAUAAUUAAUGAAGAAAGUCACAUUUACAUAACUUGAGGGUCUUUCUGCCAAAUCAAGUUAAUACGACAUAUUGCCCAACUCACCCAAGUCUCUAUAUAAUUAUAUAAUUAUAUAAUAUCUAUGAUACUAGAUCCAUUACUAGUAGAAAACUAAAAAGAAUCUCUUGGUGACAGGUGCAAUGACGUGGCAUAAUUAUAUCCGUUUCUGGGUGCUUGGCUGUUCUCUG